Long non-coding RNA from Felis catus (domestic cat), 488 nucleotides. RefSeq lists it as uncharacterized. NCBI's taxonomy places the organism in Eukaryota, Metazoa, Chordata, Mammalia, Carnivora, Felidae. The record is from RefSeq and is a predicted model, not a curated record. The transcript is spliced from 3 exons.
GGGGGCUCAAACCCAUCAUGACCUGAACUGAAGCUGGACUCCUAACCGACUGAGCCACCCAGGUUCAGCAAGUAUUAGACUGUCAGAUUAGCUCCCAAGGAAGCUGGAUAACUGGAAAGGAAGCCACAACUCUCAGCCUCCCAAAUGGGGAAGAGGAGCUGUGGGGUGUAGGACUGGCUUCCUAUUUCCACUGAGCCACGGCAAUGAAACUCGGAGCCUGGGGAGUCUUUCUCCAAGUGAGUGAGGGCUGAAUGACGGGAGGAACCACAGCCCCUGGUCCCACAACUGAACAGAAACCCCACCACUGGCAAGGCAACCAGGAGCCAGUGGUUUUCUCUCCUUGGGGUUGGGCAGAGAAGCCUAAGAAGCCACCAAAGGCCAGAGAGGAGGAGCCCCACCUCUGUGUUCUCUGAGCAGUUCUGCUUUUAUCUCUCUUAGUUAUCGCUGUUCCAUUUUAAGCUUCAUUUGAAUAAAGAGUUUUGCUGCUA